AGAAGCAGCUAUUCCUUUAAAAGAAAGCGUAACAGCUCACUGUAUUUAGUAUUUUUGUCGUCGUAAAAAUUUAAAAUAAAUCUUUAGUUAUUUACCAAAGCUAUGUGCUAAUUUUAUUUUUUAAAAUAGUGUUGCGGUAGUAGAACGUUCUGUUAUGCUUAGAAGUUAAACCGAUAGGUUUGAUGGUAGGUAUCAGAAGUGUAAAUGCUGACAUGAGUAACGAAUAAAUUGUUUAACAAUAAGACAAUCGCCGUAAACCCAAGAUUUUCUUUGUUAAAGAUCAACUUCAAAGAUUUAAGCGGCCCCUAAUAUAUAUGUGUGAAAAUCAUUAUAAAUGGGUAUUUUCCUUAAUAAUGGUAAAAUCGUAUCACCUAGUGACAAAAAUUUAUUAAUUAACUUAAAAUUUUUAUAUAUAAAUUUAAGUAAUUUAUUUUAAAAUUUUUUCAAGAAAAAACUUGGUGAAUAGACUUUUAUUUUGGAACUAAUAAAAACGACCGUAUCGUAAACCGACACUGGUGGGUUAGUAGAAUAUACUAAGGCGCUUGAGGUAAUAGUAGCUAAGGAACUCGGC
Molecule: ribosomal RNA, 571 nt
Filed under: uncultured bacterium
Lineage: Bacteria
Description: bacterial LSU rRNA
Rfam family: Bacterial large subunit ribosomal RNA
Source: RNAcentral